RNAcentral lists this ribosomal RNA (484 nucleotides) under uncultured bacterium. RNAcentral's name for it is "bacterial SSU rRNA". It matches the Rfam family "Bacterial small subunit ribosomal RNA", at positions 28 to 524 of the family's 1533-position model. The record is from RNAcentral.
GACGAACGCUGGCGGCGCGCUUAACACAUGCAAGUCGAGCGAGAACCAGGACUUCGGUCCUGGGGACAGCGGCGAACGGGUGAGUAACACGUGGAUAACCUGCCCUCGGCACCGGGAUAGCCCGAGGAAACUCGGAUUAAUACCGGAUAGCCCUUCCGACUCUCGAGUCGGUCCGAAAAGGUAGCUUCGGCCUCUGGCCGAGGAUGGGUCCGCGGCGGAUUAGCUUGUUGGUGGGGUAACGCCUACCAAGGCAUCGAUCCGUAGCUGGUCUGAGAGGACGAUCAGCCACACUGGGACUGAGACACGGCCCAGACUCCUACGGGAGGCAGCAGUGGGGAAUAUUGGACAAUGGGCGAAAGCCUGAUCCAGCCAUGCCGCGUGGGUGAAGAAGGCCUUAGGGUUGUAAACCCCUUUCAGCGGGGAAGAUAAUGACGGUACCCGCAGAAGAAGUCCCGGCUAACUCCGUGCCAGCAGCCGCCGUAAC